GUAGGGAAUAUUGGGCAAUGGAUGCAAGUCUGACCCAGCCAUCCCGCGUGCCGGAAGAAGGCCCUCAGGGUUGUAAACGGCUUUUGACGGUGAAGAAUCGACAGGAUGCGUCCUGUUUUGACGGUAGCCGUUGAAUAAGCACCGGCUAACUCCGUGCCAGCAGCCGCGGUAAUCCGGAGGGUGCGAGCGUUGUCCGGCUUUAUUGGGUUUAAAGGGUGCGUAGGCUGGAAGGUCAGUCAGCGGUGAAAAGCUGUCGCUUAACGAUAGUCUUGCCGCAGAUACUUCCUUUCUUGGAUGAGGAGGAGGCCACUGGAACGGAUGGUGUAGCGGUGAAAUGCAUAGAUAUCAUCCAGAACACCGAUUGCGAAGGCAGGUGGCUGUACCUUAAUCGACGCUGAUGCACGAAAGCAUGGGGAGCAAACAGGAUUAGAAACCCGAGUAGUCC
Molecule: ribosomal RNA, 445 nt
Filed under: uncultured bacterium
Lineage: Bacteria
Description: partial 16S ribosomal RNA
Rfam family: Bacterial small subunit ribosomal RNA
Source: RNAcentral